GGGGCUGUGGCUCAGCGGUAGAAUGGCUGCUUGGCACGCAGAAGGUCCCAGGUUCAAACCCUGCCAUCCCCA
Molecule: transfer RNA, 72 nt
Filed under: Sphaerodactylus townsendi
Lineage: Eukaryota; Metazoa; Chordata; Lepidosauria; Squamata; Sphaerodactylidae
Description: tRNA-Ala
Rfam family: tRNA
About the family: Transfer RNA (tRNA) molecules are approximately 80 nucleotides in length. Their secondary structure includes four short double-helical elements and three loops (D, anti-codon, and T loops).
Source: RNAcentral